This 446-nucleotide ribosomal RNA is filed under the name uncultured bacterium. Its description in RNAcentral is "partial 16S ribosomal RNA". It matches the Rfam family "Bacterial small subunit ribosomal RNA", at positions 338 to 795 of the family's 1533-position model. The record is from RNAcentral.
CCUACGGGGUGCAGCAGUCGAGAAUCAUUCACAAUGGGGGAAACCCUGAUGGUGCGACGCCGCGUGGGGGAAUGAAGGUCUUCGGAUUGUAAACCCCUGUCAUGUGGGAGCAAAUUAAAAAGAUAGUACCACAAGAGGAAGAGACGGCUAACUCUGUGCCAGCAGCCGCGGUAAUACAGAGGUCUCAAGCGUUGUUCGGAAUCACUGGGCGUAAAGCGUGCGUAGGCAGUUUCGUAAGUCGUGUGUGAAAGGCGCGGGCUCAACCCGCGGACGGCACAUGAUACUGCGAGACUAGAGUAAGGGAGAGGGAACCGGAAUUCUCGGUGUAGCAGUGAAAUGCGUAGAUAUCGAGAGGAACACUCGUGGCGAAGGCGGGUUCCUGGACAUUAACUGACGCUGAGGCACGAAGGCCAGGGGAGCGAAAGGGAUUAGAUACCCGAGUAGUC